GAAGAUGCCUCAAGUUAUACCUGGAGAUUUGACAACAGGAACUUGGACAUGUUCAAAACAUUAGAAGAAAAUGGGAUUUUUGAUGAAAGGGAUGAUUAUACCCAUGCAGGUCUA
Molecule: unclassified non-coding RNA, 114 nt
Filed under: Agrilus planipennis (emerald ash borer)
Lineage: Eukaryota; Metazoa; Arthropoda; Insecta; Coleoptera; Buprestidae
Description: cytochrome b5 domain-containing protein 1-like, transcript variant X1
Source: RNAcentral